RNAcentral lists this ribosomal RNA (1724 nucleotides) under bioreactor sludge metagenome. RNAcentral's name for it is "bacterial LSU rRNA". It matches the Rfam family "Bacterial large subunit ribosomal RNA", at positions 811 to 2567 of the family's 2925-position model. The record is from RNAcentral.
GAGAGUAGGAGCGAAAGACUAAUCAAACCCCGUGAUAGCUGGUUCUCUCCGAAAUCGCUUGAGGGCGAGCGUCGGGACAGUACUCUCUGGAGGUAGAGCACUGAAUGGCUUAGGGGCCCCACCAGGCCACCAAAACCAAUCAAACUCCGAAUACCAGAGAAUCCAGUAACCCGGCAGUCAGGCGGCGGGCGAUAAGGUUCGUCGCCGAGAGGGCAACAGCCCAGACCGCCGGCUAAGGUGCCUAAAUGCCGUUAAGUGGAAAGGAUGUGACGUUGCUCAGACAAUGAGGAUGUUGGCUUAGAGGCAGCCACCAUUUAAACAGUGCGUAAUAGCUGACUCAUCGAGCGAUGUCGCGCCGAAAAUGAUUGGCGAUCAAACGGCAUACCGAAGCCGCGGAGGGCCGCCCGGAUUCGUCCGGGGGCCGUGGUAGGAGAGCGUGGCCAGGGCGGUGAAGCUCUAGGGAAACCGACAGUGGAGCGCUGGCCAGUGAGAAUGCAGACACGAGUAGCGAUAAAGCGGGUGAGAAUCCCGCUCGCCGUAAACCCAAGGGUUCCUGGGCCAGGUUCGUCCUCCCAGGGUUAGCCGGGAGCUAAGAUGAGGCCGGAAGGCGUAAUCGAUGCCCAGCAGGUUAAAUAUUCCUGCGCCGGCUGGGGUUAAGACCGCGAAGGUGACGCGUUGGGAGACGUGGAUUAGGCAAUCGAAUGCUGAGCUUAGGCCUUUGGCCGAAGCGCGUCCGCGGGUCCCGGCGCCGAGAAAAGCCGGCGGUUGUUCCCCCAGUCGCCCGUACCGCAAACCGACACAGGUGGGUGAGUGUAAGCGCACUCAGGCGCGCGAGAGAAACCUCUCUAAGGAACUCGGCACAUUAGCCCCGUAACUUCGGGAAAAGGGGUGCUCCCGGCUCCGGCAGCGAUGUUGGAGUUUGGGAGCCACAGUAAAUUGCGCUUAACGACUGUUUAACAAAAACACAGCACUCUGCCAAGUCGUCAAGACGACGUAUAGGGUGUGACACGUGACCAAUGCGGAAAGAUGAAAACGUUCUGUUAGCCGCAAGGCGAAGCUCGGCGUCCAAGUCCCCGUGAAUGUCGGCCGUAACUAUAACGGUCCUAAGGUAGCGAAAUUCCUUGUCGGGUAAGUUCCGACCUGCACGAAUCGUGUAACGAUUGAGCGACUGUCUCGGAGAGGAUCUCGGCGAAACUGUAACGGCGGUGAAGAUGCCGCCUGCCCGCAGUAGGACGGAAAGACCCUAUGCACCUUUACUGUAAGCUGGUAUUGGGUUCUGGUUAUCGAUGCGUAGCGUAGGUGGGAGACUUGGAAGCCCGGGCUUCGGUCCGGGCGGAGUCGCAAUGUGAAACACCACUCUUCGCUAAUUAGGAUUCUAACCCCGAUCCUGUGAAGCCAGGCGGGGGACAUUGCUAGCGGGUCAGUUUGACUGGGGCGGUUUCCUCCCAAAGAGUAACGGAGGAGCGCGAAGCUCGGCUCAGCACGGUUGGCAAUCGUGCGCUUGAGGGUAUGGCUAGAAGCCGGGUUAACUGCGAGACACACAGGUCGAGCAGGUGCGAAAGCAGGCCCAAAUGAUCCGAUGGUUUAAAGUGGAAUUGCCAUCGCUCAACGGACAAAAGGUACGCUAGGGAUAACAGGCUGAUCGCAUCCAAGAGUUCAUAUCGACGAUGCGGUUUGGCACCUCGAUGUCGGCUCAUCGCAUCCUGGGGCUGGAGAAGGUCCCA